ACUAUCGAAGUUGCCUGCUUCGUUCGCUUGCUCUGUUCGCUUGACCAGCCAUCAUCCUACAGAUACUUACCAACAGAACUAAAAAUGAUAAGCAAUGACCACAAGCAAUGAUGAUAACCUGUAAACAAGAUGUAGAAGCUAUAAGCUCACCUCUCACAGGACGCAGAACAAAGUAUGUUGCCUAGCACAACCACUAACAAUGCAUGUAAGAUGAAGAGCCGAUGAGCAAAGGCCUUAGGGGCGCGUCUA
This 249-nucleotide long non-coding RNA is filed under the name Setaria italica (foxtail millet). RNAcentral's name for it is "long non-coding RNA (SITA_LNC001074)". Lineage: Eukaryota; Viridiplantae; Streptophyta; Magnoliopsida; Poales; Poaceae. The record is from RNAcentral.